This 51-nucleotide non-coding RNA is filed under the name Schistosoma haematobium. RNAcentral also lists the same sequence under 1 other name. The record is from RNAcentral. Lineage: Eukaryota; Metazoa; Platyhelminthes; Trematoda; Strigeidida; Schistosomatidae.
AUCUAACUGACGAGUUCCAAAUAGGAUGAAGUGACGCACUUCAAACUAGAU